UUUUCCGGUUUGUCUGAAUUGUCCUUGUGUUUUCUGAUUUGUCAUUUUCCUUUUAUAUUUCUUAUUGUGUUUUUGGUCUGUUUACGGUCCGUGUACUUUUUGGUAUUUGAAGUUUCUUUUUAUAAACAGAAACGAAAAUGAAAUGGUUUUUUAAUUAUGUGCUGGAAAUGUCCCAGGUUGUUCUCGCCUGUCGGACACACACUUGGAAUUAGAAGCGGCAAAAGCUAUAAACGAGUAUUUAUUUAUUUAUUUACUGGUGGGGCCAACAUAUGGCCGCAAAAUGAUGAAGGGAUAUCUGUCCACGAAAGGCAUACAUGCUGCAGAAGGACGAAUUGGGUCAGUUUUAAAGGAGGUGCAUCGGCCUUAUCAUGAAGCAAGAUGCCAAGCCUGCAGUGAUCACCUAUGGUAUGUGGGAUCAAGUGCGAGUAGACCAUGGAAAGGAGUUUUACCUGACACUGUUCAUGCAGGAGAUGCUGUCACACCAUCGGUUCAAUCAGGAGAGACUGCCUUAUCUACAGACUUCAUCUACACGAAACCACACAGUUGAAUGACUUUGGCCUGAGAUCAACAACCGUGUUAACUAUCCCUUGAAAACAGCCCUUCUGCAGCUGAUGGACCAAGAGGAGAUCAAUAUGGAGGACAACCUUGUAAAAUACUGUGUGUCCAAUCUAACUUCUAGGCUGUGCCACACUGGUCUUACAAGCGUGGCAGAAUCAUGGAAUGCUCAUAUGAUUCCAGGAAAAGGCAUACCAAAUCACUUUGCAGAACCUGGGUGUAAACGAAGAAUUACAUCAGAACUCUUGCCACAUUCAUUUGGAGCUGCAGACCUUUACAGACAGCAUGUAGGAUCUGCACUGACAACACACUCAACGUUUGGAGUUGAUCCCUUUACAACAGUACAGGACAAACUCAGAACGGAGAAUCAUUUUUCAGAGAAAUAUCCUGACAUUUCACAUUUGUUUCAUAGAGCAGUAAACAACAACUUUGCUCCAUACAAACAAGCCUUGCUUUAUCUGACAAACACAACUCAGAGAAAUGCAUGAACUGGUGCAUUUGCAAGCUACAGAACAUACUGAACUGAAACAACUACAAUACAUAACUGUAAGGGUUUACCUUUCUGUGAGUAAUUAAAACAUUACUCUUCCAUAAAAAAGGAUUUCAAAACUGAAAAAGCAGCAGUUAGACCUGCAACUUCUAUUGCACUGUUGUUGACUUCUCUACAUUUUGCACAGUGUGGAGAAGCCUCCUUCCACUGCUCCACACAUGUCUUGCAGCCAAUAAUGGUUCUGCAGCACAGCGACAGCAUUGGCUCUUCAAUGAUAUCUGCAAAAGUAACGUGACAGAAGACUGUUUUGUUCAGAGGAUAUGUUUUCUUUUCUCCAAGUCUACUUAUAUGCUGAUACAUGUUUAGUCAUGCAGUUAUUCCACAUAUUCUUAUUGAUUUGCAAGCAUUCAUGUACUAACUUAGUUUGAUUGUAAGCGAAAGGUGAAUAAAUCAAGUCCUCUCUGCACAAAGGCUCUUUUAAAUUUAA
Molecule: RNA transcript, 1532 nt
Organism: Hemibagrus wyckioides
Lineage: Eukaryota; Metazoa; Chordata; Actinopteri; Siluriformes; Bagridae
Exons: 5
Source: RefSeq, a predicted model, not a curated record